UACGAAGGGGGCUAGCGUUGCUCGGAAUUACUGGGCGUAAAGGGCGCGUAGGCGGCACUGUUAGUCAGGCGUGAAAGUCCUGGGCUCAACCUGGGAACUGCGCUUGAUACGGCAGAGCUAGAGUACGAAAGAGGAUCGCGGAAUUCCCGGUGUAGAAGGUGAAAUUCGUAGAUAGUCGGGAGGAACACCGGUGGCGAAGGCGGCGAGUCUGGGUCGAUACUGACGCUGAGGUGCGAAAGCGUGGGGAGCAAACAGG
This 256-nucleotide ribosomal RNA is filed under the name uncultured bacterium. RNAcentral describes it as "partial 16S ribosomal RNA". It matches the Rfam family "Bacterial small subunit ribosomal RNA", at positions 524 to 776 of the family's 1533-position model. The record is from RNAcentral.